UAGGGAAUUUUGCGCAAUGGGCGAAAGCCUGACGCAGCAACACCGCGUGAGGGAAGAAGUUCUUUGGAGCGUAAACCUCUGUCAGUGGGGACGAAUUUUGACGGUACCCACAAAGGAAGCAUCGGCUAACUACGUGCCAGCAGCCGCGGUAAGACGUAGGAUGCAAGCGUUGUCCGGAAUUAUUGGGCGUAAAGAGUUCGUAGGCGGCAUGUCAAGUCUGGUGUUAAAGUCCGGGGCUCAACCCCGGUUUCGCACUGGAUACUGGCAAGCUAGAGUGCAGAAGAGGCAAGGGGAAUUCCCAGUGUAGCGGUGAAAUGCGUAGAUAUUGGGAGGAACACCGGUGGCGUAAGCGCCUUGCUGGGCUGUUACUGACGCUGAGGAACGAAAGCCGGGGGAGCGAAUGGG
This 405-nucleotide ribosomal RNA is filed under the name uncultured bacterium. RNAcentral's name for it is "bacterial SSU rRNA". It matches the Rfam family "Bacterial small subunit ribosomal RNA", at positions 355 to 776 of the family's 1533-position model. The record is from RNAcentral.